RNAcentral lists this ribosomal RNA (483 nucleotides) under uncultured bacterium. Its description in RNAcentral is "partial 16S ribosomal RNA". It matches the Rfam family "Bacterial small subunit ribosomal RNA", at positions 30 to 507 of the family's 1533-position model. The record is from RNAcentral.
AUUGAACGCUGGCGGCAGGCCUAACACAUGCAAGUCGAGCGGAUGAAGGGAGCUUGCUCCUGGAUUCAGCGGCGGACGGGUGAGUAAUGCCUAGGAAUCUGCCUGGUAGUGGGGGAUAACGUCCGGAAACGGGCGCUAAUACCGCAUACGUCCUGAGGGAGAAAGUGGGGGAUCUUCGGACCUCACGCUAUCAGAUGAGCCUAGGUCGGAUUAGCUAGUUGGUGGGGUAAAGGCCUACCAAGGCGACGAUCCGUAACUGGUCUGGGAGGAUGAUCAGUCAAACUGGAACUAGAAAACGGUCAGGCCUCCUAGGGAGGGCGGCAGUGGGAAUUGUUGGACAAUGGGCAAAAGCCUAAGCCAGCAAUGCGGGGUGGUUAAGGAGGGUCUUCGAUUUGAAAAGCACUUUAGUUUGGAAGAAAGGGCAGUAAGUUAAUUCCUUGCUGUUUUACGGUACCAACAGAAUAAGCACCGGCUAACUUCGUG